CCUCUUUUCUCAAGGAAGAAGUUCUGACGUGUACUUGAGGAAUAAGCAUCGGCUAACCCUGUGCCAGCAGCCGCGGUAAUACAGGGGAUGCAAGUGUUAUCCGGAUUUAUUGGGCGUAAAGAGUCUGUAGGUUGAUAUUUUAAGUCUUUUGUUAAAGCUUUAGGCUUAACCUAAAAAGUGCAAAAGAUACUAAAUAUCUAGAGUAUAGUCGAGGUAAAGGGAAUUUUCAGUGGAGCGAUAAAAUGUGUAGAUAUUGAAAGGAACACCAUAAGCGAAGGCGCUUUACUAGAUUAUUCUGACACUGAGAGACGAAAGCUAGGGGAGCGAGCGGGAUUAGAUACCCCGGUAGUCCUAGCUGUAAACGAUGGAUACU
RNAcentral lists this ribosomal RNA (373 nucleotides) under uncultured cyanobacterium. RNAcentral describes it as "bacterial SSU rRNA". It matches the Rfam family "Bacterial small subunit ribosomal RNA", at positions 430 to 817 of the family's 1533-position model. Lineage: Bacteria; Bacillati; Cyanobacteriota. The record is from RNAcentral.